RNAcentral lists this long non-coding RNA (489 nucleotides) under Ananas comosus (pineapple). Its description in RNAcentral is "long non-coding RNA (ACOM_LNC029520)". Lineage: Eukaryota; Viridiplantae; Streptophyta; Magnoliopsida; Poales; Bromeliaceae. The record is from RNAcentral.
GAGAUGAAAUGCGAAGCUAUAUUUUACCGUUAAGUCUGUGUACAAUUUGAUCAGAGAUGGGGGUGUCCAGGAUAAUCUUCUGCGAAAAUUCUGGGAUUUAAAAUUACCGUAUAAAGUUAAAAUCUUUAUUUGGUUAGUUCUUAGAAAACGCCUGUCUACAGCAAAACGAGGUUGGUUUAGAAAUCAACAAUGAUUAUGUAUAGUUGCGAAGUUGAGACUGUCGAUCAUUUACUGGUGGGAUGCGUACUUAGUAGAUUUUUAACAGUCAACAUCCUAAAAAAUAGAUAUAUUUUGGGUUCUAUAACAGAGGUCAGGGGUGUAUGGAAGCUUCUAUUCGGAAACAAAGCAAAAAAUAGCAGCAGUAAAGGAUCUAAUUUUAGUUGCUGUAUAUUAGUGGACGAUUUGAUAGAAAAGAAACAAUAUAAUUUUUAGAAAGUAAUCUUUCGACCCUUUAGGGCCUGUUAUACAAGUGUAAGAUGUGGGAAAGAA